This 576-nucleotide ribosomal RNA is filed under the name metagenome. Its description in RNAcentral is "bacterial SSU rRNA". It matches the Rfam family "Archaeal small subunit ribosomal RNA", at positions 889 to 1467 of the family's 1478-position model. The record is from RNAcentral.
AGGAGCGUGCGGUUUAAUUGGAUUCAACGCCGGAAAACUCACCAGGGCCGACUGUUAGAUGAAGACCAGUGUAAUGAACUUGUCGGAUUUUCAGAGAGGUGGUGCAUGGCCGUCGUCAGUUCGUACUGUAAAGCGUUCUGUUAAGUCAGAUAACGAACGAGACCCUCAUCUCUAUUUGCUACCUGUCUCUCCGGAGACAGCGCACUAUAGGGAGACCGCUGGUGUUAAACCAGAGGAAGGCGAGGGCAACGACAGGUCAGUAUGCCCCGAAUGUCCUGGGCUACACGCGCGCUACAAAGGACGGGACAAUGGGAAGCCAGGCCGAGAGGCAUCGAGCUAACCCGAAACCCGUUCAUAGUUCGGAUUGAGGGCUGUAACUCGCCCUCAUGAAGCUGGAUUCCGUAGUAAUCGUGUUUCAAUAUAGCACGGUGAAUAUGCCCCUGCUCCUUGCACACACCGCCCGUCAAACCAUCUUAGUUGGGGGUGGGUGAGGCUGCGCUUUAUGGCGUAUUCGAGCCUGCCUUCGACAAGGAGGGUUAAGUCGUAACAAGGUAUCUGUAGGGGAACCUGCAGGUG